RNAcentral lists this long non-coding RNA (258 nucleotides) under Pan troglodytes (chimpanzee). RNAcentral describes it as "long non-coding RNA NONPTRT008182". Lineage: Eukaryota; Metazoa; Chordata; Mammalia; Primates; Hominidae. The record is from RNAcentral.
GGGCCUUGUUCCUCGAAGAGACAGGAGACUAAGAGACAAUGAGCUGAGUGAGGAGCCCAGGAACCCGGGUUCCGAACAGCUGCGUAGAAUGCGAGCGGCCAAAUGGUGGAGAAUCUGGCCGGAGGUCCCGAAUUGACGUCCUUCCCUCAAAACCUCCGGGUCUACAAACCAGGACCCUCAGGACCCUUCAGGUGCUCAGAGAAGGAUGAGCUAGGUUAUAUAGUCCUGGGUCGGCGCAAAAAGGCAGCUGAAAGCGUG